GAACGGCCACAUUGGGACUGAGACACGGCCCAAACUCCUACGGGAGGCAGCAGUGGGGAAUAUUGCACAAUGGGGGAAACCCUGAUGCAGCAACGCCGCGUGAGUGAAGAAGUAUUUCGGUAUGUAAAGCUCUAUCAGCAGGAAAGAAAAUGACGGUACCUGACUAAGAAGCCCCGGCUAACUACGUGCCAGCAGCCGCGGUAAUACGUAGGGGGCAAGCGUUAUCCGGAUUUACUGGGUGUAAAGGGAGCGUAGACGGUUUUGCAAGUCUGAAGUGAAAGCCCGGGGCUUAACCCCGGGACUGCUUUGGAAACUGUAGGACUAGAGUGCAGGAGAGGUAAGUGGAAUUCCUAGUGUAGCGGUGAAAUGCGUAGAUAUUAGGAGGAACACCAGUGGCGAAGGCGGCUUACUGGACUGUAACUGACGUUGAGGCUCGAAAGCGUGGGGAGCAAACAGGAUUAGAUACCCUGGUAGUCCACGCCGUAAACGACGAAAACGAGGUGUUGGUGGGUAUGACCCAUCGGUGCCGC
RNAcentral lists this ribosomal RNA (530 nucleotides) under uncultured bacterium. RNAcentral's name for it is "bacterial SSU rRNA". It matches the Rfam family "Bacterial small subunit ribosomal RNA", at positions 302 to 849 of the family's 1533-position model. The record is from RNAcentral.